This 93-nucleotide ribosomal RNA is filed under the name uncultured bacterium. RNAcentral's name for it is "partial 16S ribosomal RNA". The record is from RNAcentral.
GCACACACCGCCCGUCAAGCCAUGGAAGCCGGGUGUACCUAAAGUCGGUAACCGUAAGGAGCCGCCUAGGGUAAAACGUAGGUGACUGGGGCU